AGUAACGGCGAGUGAACGGAGAUUAGCCCAGCACCGAAGCCUAUUCGUGCAUACGAACAAGGCAAUGUGGUGUUCAGGCAUCAUUCUUAGGCGGCUCGUCUACUCGAAGUCCAACUCCGAUUAUGGCUUGGAUUUUUCCCAUAGAGGGUGAAAGGCCCGUUCGAGUAGGCAUUGUUGUUUUGAGCUGUCUUUCGAUAUGCAUGCUUUGGAGUCGGAUUGCUUGAGAAUGCAGUCCAAAGUGGGUGGUAAACUCCAUCCAAGGCUAAAUACUGGCACGAGUCCGAUAGUAGACAAGUACCGUGAGGGAAAGUUGAAAAGUACUCUGAAGAGAGAGUAAAUAGUACGUGAAGCCGACUGAAUGGAAGCUGGUGGAGUCAAGCUUCUAGCUUGAAGAAUUGGCGCGGAGACCCUAUUGUCAUUGUAGAGUGUGUAUUGAUUGGCUUGUAAAUGGCUGGGUACUUCGGUACCUUUAGUUAUCCGGGCUGGUUACUAUUGUUUGUUCACGCUCUGCGGUCACUCGUGCUAUUUCUUCUUGCUUGUAUCACGGUCAAUGCUAUCGUGGUGUGUGUAUGUCUAACCAGGUUGCUGCUAGCAUCAGCUAGCGUGGCUUGGAACGGCAGGGGGUGGUUGCUUAGUCUCGGCUGGGCAAUCAUGUAUGCUGAUGUACACGCUGUUAAUACCAUCGAGUGCAUUGUUUAUAUUUCCUCAAUAUCCAUAAGGGUAGUUGAGCUGAGAGCCGUGAUUCUGAAGUAGAUUUCCACCGGACCCGUCUUGAAACACGGACCAAGGAGUUUAACUUGCUCGCAAGUCAUUGGAUUCUUCAUUAAAUCCAAAGGCGCAAUGAAAGUAAACGGUUGCUUCUCGUAAUCGAAGGUGCGAUCUUAGUUUGUCGUGACAAUGACUUCUGAGCGUAGCACCGGCCCGUCUCGUAAUGUAGUCAUGCUUGCUACUGGCUUGUGUGCAUCAUUGAGGCGGCGCAAGAGCGAGCAGGUUGAGACCCGAAAGAUGGUGAACUAUGCUUGCGUAGGUUGAAGCCAGAGGAAACUCUGGUGGAUGACCGUCGCGGUUUUGACGUGCAAAUCGAUCGUCAAACGUGAGCAUAGGGGCGAAAGACUAAUCGAACCAUCUAGUAGCUGGUUCCCUCCGAAGUUUCCCUCAGGAUAGCUGGCGCUCAUUUAUUACAGUUUUAUCCGGUAAAGCGAAUGAUUAGAGGUAUUGGGGACUAUAUGUUCUCAACCUAUUCUCAAACUAUAAAUGGGUACGAUGCAUGGCUCGCUUAAUUGGAGUUGUGCAUUGAAUGUGAGUGCCAAGUGGGCCAUUUUUGGUAAGCAGAACUGGCGCUGUGGGAUGCUCCGAACGUCAAGAUAAGGUGCCAAAUGUUGGCGCUCAUGAGACACCACAAAAGGUGUUAAUGCAUAUAGACAGCAGGACGGUGGCCAUGAAAGUCGGUACCCGCUAAGGA
RNAcentral lists this ribosomal RNA (1462 nucleotides) under Demidospermus sp. 11 IBC-2015. Its description in RNAcentral is "eukaryotic LSU rRNA". It matches the Rfam family "Eukaryotic large subunit ribosomal RNA", at positions 82 to 1277 of the family's 3401-position model. The record is from RNAcentral. Lineage: Eukaryota; Metazoa; Platyhelminthes; Monogenea; Dactylogyridea; Dactylogyridae.